UACAGAGAGUGCAAACGUUGUUCGGAAUUACUGGGCUUAAAGCGCACGUAGGCGGCAUCGCAAGUGUCAGGUGAAAUCCCACGGCUUACCCGUGGAACUGCUUGGCAUACUGCGAAGCUAGAGUGUGGUAGGGGAGAGCGGAACUCCUGGUGGAGCGGUGAAAUGCGUAGAUAUCAGGAGGAACACCGGUGGCGAAGGCGGCUCUCUGGUCCACAACUGACGCUGAGGUGCGAAAGCUAGGGGAGCAAACGGG
RNAcentral lists this ribosomal RNA (253 nucleotides) under uncultured bacterium. RNAcentral's name for it is "partial 16S ribosomal RNA". It matches the Rfam family "Bacterial small subunit ribosomal RNA", at positions 524 to 776 of the family's 1533-position model. The record is from RNAcentral.